Non-coding RNA from Camellia sinensis, 924 nucleotides. Lineage: Eukaryota; Viridiplantae; Streptophyta; Magnoliopsida; Ericales; Theaceae. The record is from RefSeq and is a predicted model, not a curated record.
UAUAUUAAGUUCCUUAAGGUUUUAAUUCAUAUAACUUUAAUUCCAUUUUCAUUAUAAAUUUGUUAGUAAUAUGAAUGAAAAAAUAAUAUUGUCAUUUAUUUUACAUUAAAAUAUAUAUUUUACCGGUUUAUAUUUGUGUUUUCAUAUCAUCUGUAUUAUUUUUAUCUCUUUAAAUUUUUUUUGGAUAAUGGUCUCUUUAACUUUACUAAAAAGAAUAUCAGUAUAAUUAUAUUCUAUCGUUUGGCUCAUUUCACUUGGUGAGAGCUAUCUAAAAUGUGGAAAACAGUGCUUUUCUGGUCCCCCCACAUACAUAUUUUUUUGUUAUGCUGGUGUCUGUAAUUGUUUAGGGAGUCACUGAAGGUGAAGGGAAAGUGUUCAUUCACAAAUGACCAGGAAUGAGUCUUGAGCUUUGUAAAAUCCCUGUAUUUGAUUACCCUUAAAUGAGAGACUCAUUAUUGAAAUUCUAAUUAUUGAAAUCCCUGUAUUGGAUGCUAAUUAUUGAAUUCAAAAUUGUAGACUCAAAUGAAUGAGCUAACGGAGCACAUGGAGGCAGCAACUUUUGCACCCUCGAACCCAUUAUAUAGGCAGCAGGUUGCUGAUUCACGUAGUAGUCAUCCCACUGUUCGGCCAAUGUCACAUCAACAACAAUCUCAUGCAUUUUCAUCCCAAGAGGUUUACCUUUCAAAGAAGAAGAAGAAGAAGAAGAACUAACAAGGUGGUUAUGUAAAACUUCCUAAUGUUUUUAGACUGGGCAUUUUGAUGGCCCUUGUUAAUAUGUAAUCUGGGGACUAGUUGGAACUCCCUGGUGGAAGAUUUUGGGGCUUUAUUGAUGUUAUUUUUGUAGAUACGACGGCGUUUCUAAAACGUUGCUAAAUAUCGUUGGUGACGUCAGCAGCUAUAUUGUAGGACAUUUGGCGGCGUUUU